ACCCUACGGGGCGCAGCAGUGGGGAAUAUUGCACAAUGGGGGGAACCCUGAUGCAGCGACGCCGCGUGGGCGAUGGAGUAUUUCGGUAUGUAAAGCCCUAUCGGCAGGGAAGAAAAUGACAGUACCUGAGUAAGAAGCCCCGGCUAACUACGUGCCAGCAGCCGCGGUAAUACGUAGGGGGCAAGCGUUAUCCGGAUUUACUGGGUGUAAAGGGAGCGUAGACGGUGCGCCAAGUCUGGAGUGAAAUGCCGCAGCUUAAAUGCGGAACUGCUUUGGAAACUGGCGUACUAGAGUGCGGGGGGGGG
This 305-nucleotide ribosomal RNA is filed under the name uncultured bacterium. Its description in RNAcentral is "partial 16S ribosomal RNA". It matches the Rfam family "Bacterial small subunit ribosomal RNA", at positions 335 to 658 of the family's 1533-position model. The record is from RNAcentral.